This 253-nucleotide ribosomal RNA is filed under the name uncultured bacterium. RNAcentral describes it as "partial 16S ribosomal RNA". It matches the Rfam family "Bacterial small subunit ribosomal RNA", at positions 524 to 776 of the family's 1533-position model. The record is from RNAcentral.
GACGAACCGUGCGAACGUUGUUCGGAAUCACUGGGCUUAAAGGGCGCGUAGGCGGGCCAGCAAGUCAGGGGUGAAAUCCCACGGCUCAACCGUGGAAGAGCCUUUGAUACUGCGGGCCUCGAGGGAGGUAGGGGCGUGCGGAACUUCCGGUGGAGCGGUGAAAUGCGUAGAUAUCGGAAGGAACAUCGGUGGCGAAAGCGGCGCGCUGGACCUCUUCUGACGCUGAGGCGCGAAAGCCAGGGGAGCAAACGGG